UACGGAGGGUGCAAGCGUUAGUCGGAAUUACUGGGCGUAAAGGGUGCGUAGGCUGUGUUGUAAGUCAGAUGUGAAAAACCAAAGCUCAACUUUGGCAGUGCAUCUGAAACUGCAGCACUAGAGGGACAGCGGAGAAAACGGAAUUCCACGUGUAGCGGUGAAAUGCGUAGAUAUGUGGAAGAACACCUGUGGCGAAAGCGGUUUUCUAGCUUAAUCCUGACGCUGAGGCACGAAAGCAAGGGGAGCAAAC
RNAcentral lists this ribosomal RNA (250 nucleotides) under uncultured bacterium. Its description in RNAcentral is "partial 16S ribosomal RNA". It matches the Rfam family "Bacterial small subunit ribosomal RNA", at positions 524 to 773 of the family's 1533-position model. The record is from RNAcentral.